This 305-nucleotide ribosomal RNA is filed under the name uncultured bacterium. RNAcentral's name for it is "bacterial SSU rRNA". It matches the Rfam family "Bacterial small subunit ribosomal RNA", at positions 338 to 639 of the family's 1533-position model. The record is from RNAcentral.
CCUACGGGAGGCAGCAGUGAGGAAUAUUGGUCAAUGGGCGCAAGCCUGAACCAGCCAAGUCGCGUGAGGGAAGACGGCCCUACGGGUUGUAAACCUCUUUUGCCGGGGAGCAAGCCUGAGCACGUGUGCCCAGGCGGAGAGUACCCGGAGAAAAAGCAUCGGCUAACUCCGUGCCAGCAGCCGCGGUAAUACGGAGGAUGCGAGCGUUAUCCGGAUUUAUUGGGUGUAAAGGGAGCGUAGACGGCGCGGCAAGUCUGAGGUGAAAGGCAGGGGCUUAACCCCUGAACUGCUUUGGAAACUGCCAG